RNAcentral lists this ribosomal RNA (440 nucleotides) under uncultured bacterium. RNAcentral describes it as "partial 16S ribosomal RNA". It matches the Rfam family "Bacterial small subunit ribosomal RNA", at positions 338 to 795 of the family's 1533-position model. The record is from RNAcentral.
CCUACGGGUGGCAGCAGUGGGGGAUAUUGCACAAUGGGGGAAACCCUGAUGCAGCGACGCCGCUUGUGUGCCGCCUCUCCUCCUCGCGUCCCGCCCUGUCCGCCGGGCAGCAAAUGACGGUACCUGAAGAAGAAGCCCCGGCUAACUACGUGCCAGCAGCCGCGGUAAUACGUAGGGGGCAAGCGUUAUCCGGAUUUCCUGGGUGUACAGGGGGCGCCGCAGGCGAUGCAAGCCAGGAGUGAAAGCCCGGGGCCCAACCCCGGUCCUGCUCUUGGAACUGCGUUGCUAGAGUGCAGGAGGGGCAGGCGGAAUGCGUGGUGUAGCGGUGAAAUGCGUAGAUAUCAGGAGGAACACCGGUGGCGAAGGCGGCCUGCUGGACUGCAACUGACGUUGAGGCCCGAAAGCGUGGGGAGCAAACAGGAUUAGAUACCCUGGUAGUC